RNAcentral lists this ribosomal RNA (253 nucleotides) under uncultured bacterium. RNAcentral describes it as "partial 16S ribosomal RNA". It matches the Rfam family "Bacterial small subunit ribosomal RNA", at positions 524 to 776 of the family's 1533-position model. The record is from RNAcentral.
UACAGAGGGGGCAAGCGUUAUUCGGAAUUAUUGGGCGUAAAGGGCGCGUAGGCGGCUUGGCAAGUGGAAGGUGAAAUCCCUCGGCUUAACCGAGGAACUGCCCUCCAAACUGCUUUGCUUGAGGCCGGGAGAGGUGAGUGGAAUUCCCAGUGUAGCGGUGAAAUGCGUAGAUAUUGGGAGGAACACCAGUGGCGAAGGCGGCUCACUGGACCGGUUCUGACGCUGAGGCGCGAAAGCUAGGGGAGCAAACAGG